This 428-nucleotide ribosomal RNA is filed under the name uncultured bacterium. Its description in RNAcentral is "partial 16S ribosomal RNA". It matches the Rfam family "Bacterial small subunit ribosomal RNA", at positions 354 to 796 of the family's 1533-position model. The record is from RNAcentral.
GUAGGGAAUAUUGCGCAAUGGGGGAAACCCUGACGCAGCGACGCCGCGUGAGUGAUGAAGGCCUUCGGGUCGUAAAGCUCUGUUGCAGGGGAAUAAAAAAAUGAAGGCACCCUGUGAGGAAGGAUCGGCUAACUUCGUGCCAGCAGCCGCGGUAAGACGAGGGAUCCUAGCGUUGCUCGGAAUCAUUGGGCGUAAAGAGGGCGUAGGUGGCUUGGUAAGUCAGGUGUGAAAGCCCAGGGUUCAACCCUGUAAGUGCAUUUGAUACUGCUGAGCUUGAGUGUCGGAGAGGUUACCGGAAUACCUGGUGUAGUGGUGAAAUACGUAGAUAUCAGGUGGAACACCGGAGGCGAAGGCGGGUAACUGGACGAACACUGACACUGAGGCCCGAAAGCGUGGGGAUCAAACAGGAUUAGAUACCCCAGUAGUCC